Molecule: unclassified non-coding RNA, 306 nt
Filed under: Hevea brasiliensis (rubber tree)
Lineage: Eukaryota; Viridiplantae; Streptophyta; Magnoliopsida; Malpighiales; Euphorbiaceae
Source: RNAcentral
UCUUUAGAUAAAUGUCUUCUUCAUCGUGUUGGUAAUGCAUCUACUGGUCCCGUGCGUCCAUUCGUCAUUUCAAAGAAAAUGGAACAAUUAGUAUAUAGAAACUUUCAAGUUAUUAAGGAGUUUGAGGAGCAUCUUAUUGAUUUUCGCAAGCAAGAUUUGAAUAGAAGCUCAGUCAUAGAGGCACUUCUUGGUCGUUUAGAUGAUGUAUUGGAAAAGGGCAAGUUGUUGGCUGAAGAGUUUCACUUUUCUCUCAAGGCAAAAUCAGGAAAUAACUCAACCUGCACAUUUGAUAAAUCCACCUCCCCC